Molecule: transfer RNA, 75 nt
Filed under: Candidatus Saccharimonadota bacterium
Lineage: Bacteria; Candidatus Saccharimonadota
Also listed under: 2 other names
Description: tRNA-Glu
Rfam family: tRNA
About the family: Transfer RNA (tRNA) molecules are approximately 80 nucleotides in length.
Source: RNAcentral
GGUCCCAUCGUCUAGUGGUUAGGACACCAGGUUUUCAUCCUGGCAACAGGGGUUCGACUCCCCUUGGGAUCACCA